UUUUAAGAUACAUAAACUGGUCUUAUAUUCUAAUAACAACAUAUCUAGUGUAAUUCACAAGUGGGGUAUGAGGAUGGUAAUGCAAACCUAUCUCUACCUUUUGGGAUAGAGAGGCUAUUUCCGAUAGACCAUGUGCCCUUUAUCCCACACACAUAAAAAGACUUGAAAAAAGAUUCAAAGCAACAAAGCAAUCCAUGAUAAAAAGUUAAAAUUACAGACACCUUAGAACUUUUGAAAAAAGUCAUAUAUGUG
Molecule: unclassified non-coding RNA, 252 nt
Filed under: Hevea brasiliensis (rubber tree)
Lineage: Eukaryota; Viridiplantae; Streptophyta; Magnoliopsida; Malpighiales; Euphorbiaceae
Source: RNAcentral